Molecule: ribosomal RNA, 211 nt
Filed under: uncultured bacterium
Lineage: Bacteria
Description: partial 16S ribosomal RNA
Rfam family: Bacterial small subunit ribosomal RNA
Source: RNAcentral
CGGACUGUAGGCUGCAACUCGCCUACACGAAGCUGGAAUCGCUAGUAAUCGCGGAUCAGCACGCCGCGGUGAAUACGUUCCCGGGCCUUGUACACACCGCCCGUCACACCAUGAGAGUCUGUAACACCCAAAGCCGGUGGGAUAACCUUUAUAGGAGUCAGCCGUCUAAAGGUAGGACAGAUGAUUAGGGGUGAAGUCGUAACAAGGUAUC